This 804-nucleotide ribosomal RNA is filed under the name Triticum aestivum (bread wheat). RNAcentral's name for it is "partial small subunit ribosomal RNA". The record is from RNAcentral. Lineage: Eukaryota; Viridiplantae; Streptophyta; Magnoliopsida; Poales; Poaceae.
AUGGCAACAUCACAAGUGACGCAGGCGAAACAACACGCGGUUGUUGUCCUGCCAGUCGCCGACGCCACUGAGGGAGGACUUGUGGAUUCUGCUGGGCGGCGCCAGGAAUCGCAGAACACUAGGCUGGAAAUCGACAUUGGCGAGAACAGGACAAUGGUCAUUGAGAUCACCCUUACAGGGAAACUAGCUCUGCAGUGCCCUGCGGGUACCACGCCCCCGGCGGCGGACGCAGCAGCAGAACAGGCAGUUGAAAACCAGGAGUACAUGGACCAGAUGCGCGGAUGGCUGAUGACUGUGGGCACCCUGUUCAUCGGCAUGUCGUUUCAGGCGGCGUUGCAGCCGCCAAGCUGGAUGCCCAAGGAUUGGUACAUGGUGCUGAGGAAGAAUAAUUCUAUCCGUAUUCCCUGGUCCCAUCUUUCUCCUGCAGAAAUGGCGGCGCCAGAUAACAUCUCAAAGAAAGAAGCUAUUCACGCACUCAACUACGUGCUCACUAACACGACCACUUUCGCGAUAUCGCUAGCACUAGUGUCAGCACUGGUGAUAAUGAAAAGGUCGCCACCCACACGUUUCAUAUACAUGGUAAAGGUGAUGGUGGGGCUCCUCUGCUUCUUUGUCGCCUGGAGCUUCGCCAUCGGUAACGGGUACGAUCCAGCCGCUUCCUGGGUGGUCGUUGCUUUCCUCGUGAUGUACGGCUUUAGUACGCUUUUUGCGUUCUUCACCGUGAUGUGGCUUCCCUACCACCUGAUCAGGCCGGCUUUGGAACGGCUUAAGCUUUUGCCCAAGGCUGCUGCCCACGUAAGCUAG